Molecule: microRNA, 21 nt
Filed under: Bombyx mori (domestic silkworm)
Lineage: Eukaryota; Metazoa; Arthropoda; Insecta; Lepidoptera; Bombycidae
Description: bmo-miR-2813
Source: miRBase by way of RNAcentral
UUCUAGAUUAAGCCGUUGGAA